RNAcentral lists this ribosomal RNA (434 nucleotides) under uncultured bacterium. RNAcentral's name for it is "partial 16S ribosomal RNA". It matches the Rfam family "Bacterial small subunit ribosomal RNA", at positions 29 to 507 of the family's 1533-position model. The record is from RNAcentral.
AACGAACGCUGGCGGCAUGCCUAACACAUGCAAGUCGAACGAGACCUUCGGGUCUAGUGGCGCACGGGUGCGUAACGCGUGGGAACCUGCCCUUAGGUUCGGAAUAACUCCCCGAAAGGGGUGCUAAUACCGGAUAAUGUCUUCGGACCAAAGAUUUAUCGCCUUUGGAUGGGCCCGCGUUGGAUUAGCUAGUUGGUAGGGUAAAAGCCUACCAAGGCGACGAUCCAUAGCUGGUCUGAGAGGAUGAUCAGCCACACUGGGACUGAGACACGGCCCAGACUUCUUCGGGGAGGAAGAGGGGGGAAAUAUUGAAAAAGGGGCAAAGGCCUGAUCCACCAUUGCCGGGUGAGUAUUGAGGCCUUGGGGUUUGAAAACCUUUUUUCCCCGGAAGGAAAAGAACAUACCGGGGAAAAAAGGCCCCGCCAACCCCCGUG